RNAcentral lists this ribosomal RNA (229 nucleotides) under uncultured bacterium. Its description in RNAcentral is "partial 16S ribosomal RNA". It matches the Rfam family "Bacterial small subunit ribosomal RNA", at positions 568 to 796 of the family's 1533-position model. The record is from RNAcentral.
UGCGUAGGCGGAUAAAUAAGUCAGUGGUGAAAUCUUUCGGCUCAACCGGAAAACUGCCAUUGAUACUGUUUAUCUUGAGUUCGGUAGAGGUAGGCGGAAUGUGUAAUGUAGCGGUGAAAUGCUUAGAUAUUACACAGAACACCAAUUGCGUAGGCAGCUUACUAUGCCGACACUGACGCUGAGGCACGAAAGCGUGGGGAGCGAACAGGAUUAGAUACCCUGGUAGUCC